RNAcentral lists this ribosomal RNA (465 nucleotides) under uncultured Klebsiella sp. RNAcentral describes it as "bacterial SSU rRNA". It matches the Rfam family "Bacterial small subunit ribosomal RNA", at positions 338 to 795 of the family's 1533-position model. Lineage: Bacteria; Pseudomonadati; Pseudomonadota; Gammaproteobacteria; Enterobacterales; Enterobacteriaceae. The record is from RNAcentral.
CCUACGGGUGGCUGCAGUGGGGAAUAUUGCACAAUGGGCGCAAGCCUGAUGCAGCCAUGCCGCGUGUGUGAAGAAGGCCUUCGGGUUGUAAAGCACUUUCAGCGGGGAGGAAGGCGGUGAGGUUAAUAACCUCAUCGAUUGACGUUACCCGCAGAAGAAGCACCGGCUAACUCCGUGCCAGCAGCCGCGGUAAUACGGAGGGUGCAAGCGUUAAUCGGAAUUACUGGGCGUCAAGCGCACGCAGGCGGUCUGUCAAGUCGGAUGUGAAAUCCCCGGGCUCAACCUGGGAACUGCAUUCGAAACUGGCAGGCUAGAGUCUUGUAGAGGGGGGUAGAAUUCCAGGUGUGGCGGUGAAAUGCGUAGAGAUCUGGAGGAAUACCGGUGGCGAAGGCGGCCCCCUGGACAAAGACUGACGCUCAGGUGCGAAAGCGUGGGGAGCAAACAGGAUUAGAUACCCCUGUAGUC